GAAGAAAGAUAGGGAGAGUUUUUGCUCUGCCGCCGAGGUAGGAGUGGGAGUUUUGGGGUGCUUCUGUCCAUCAAAGGCAGCCUUACAGCAAGUCAAGGGAGCACAAGUAGUGCAGCUGCUGUGGAGAAGGGUCAGCAGCCGAGUGGCUGAGGCAGCUCCCAGCCUGACACGUCUUGCUGAUGCAUCUUGCCCACGCGGUGAGCCUGGCGUGGGACGUCCCUGUCGGACAGGAUGAAGCGGAUAAGGAUUGCUGCCUGGGAUGCCUGUUCCUGCCUGGAAUGCCAAGCCGUGUCUGGAGAGAGGCUGGAUCCCUAGGGACCCAAUUAUUGGAAGAAAAGUGUUGGGAGCACCUUCAGCUUUAAAGUAUGACAGCUUGACUUCUGCCAAAUAAAAUAACAGAGAAGGAGGUGGUAGGGGAGCCAGUGAGCACAGUACUGGAGCUUUCCAAGGAGCGCACACACAGCACAUUUAGUUAGUUGAAAUGGGGCAGCACAACAGCAGCCUUCACGACAUCAGACUGGCAGGACAGUAUCUGCUGCUUUGGUCCACCUUCCCCUGUCUUACCCCACCCCUGGAAUCAGGCAGGCUGUCCCAAGCAUCCCCCCACCUCUGAACACAACUUGCCCUAAAACUGCUGGAGACAAGGAGCAUCUCAAGGACCUCAAGGUAUGGAUGGAGCAGACCACAGUCCCUGCAUAGCAUUAGCUGCAACAGAGGCCAGGAGCAGGAGUCCCUGGGAAGAUGCAGUGAUCAGGAGUUGGGGAUGAGCCUUCUCAUUUCUGUUUUGUUUGCCUGGUUACUUUGUAUUUUCCCUAUUAAAAAAUAUUAACUUAAUUCCAGAAGCAUGAA
Falco peregrinus (peregrine falcon) is the source of this 849-nucleotide long non-coding RNA. RefSeq lists it as uncharacterized. The record is from RefSeq and is a predicted model, not a curated record. NCBI's taxonomy places the organism in Eukaryota, Metazoa, Chordata, Aves, Falconiformes, Falconidae. The transcript has 2 exons.